CUUGCACCAAAAAAUAUAUAUAUAACACUCUGUUUUAUUAUUUUUUUCUCAAAGACCAUUAAAUACUAGAUGGAAACAAGAACUAAAUAAUGAAUGUAAAGAACCAAAUUUCUUUUAAAACUAGAGUUGCACAUUUUAAAACAUUAAUUCUAAGCAAUGAUUUGUCUUCACUGCAUCAAGUUCCAAGUUCAAACUCCAGCAACAGUAGAUCUGUUAAACCACCAAGUGCAUUGGUUCCUAGCCAUACAAUGGCUAACAUUUCACUUUCCUGGUGAGAGGAGCAAAAAAAAAAAAAAAAAAAAAGAAAGAAAGAAAGAAAGGGGCUUUGUUGCUGCCCUUUGCUCUUUAAAAUAUAAAACAAAAACAAACAAUAACAUUUCCUAACUAUCCAGUGAUUGUGGGUGUGUUUUUUAAAAGAUCACUACCCUUUAAAAUUUGUUAAAAGAAUAAGAAAUAUGUAGUGUUUUAAAUAAAAUGGAAAACAAACCCAACAGCAUGAGACUAAGAUACGUGAUUAUUUUAAACUAUAAACAGUGCACAAUCUGAGGAAGUUUGGUUAGGGCGCAGUUGUUUUUAUAUAUACAUGGAAGUCACAUCAUAUACAUACUGGAAAACAGGAAUUUAGGGGUUCUGCUUAUUUAUUUAUUUUUAAUAGGAAAGACUAAACUAUGUCCUCAGUUCCCUCAGACACCUCAUGAGAUAGGAAAAAGCAGGUUAACUAACAUAUUGUUUUCCCUCUCAGUUACCUACAGUGCUAACUUGCUAAAAAUGAUGCACAUUACUAAAUUAGGAAAUCAGGAAAAGAUUUGUAUUCACAAUUGGUACAAUGAUACCAGCAUUAUGGGAUGCUCAACUGCAAAGGAAAGGGGAUCCAUUUAAUUUGGCCCCUUCAAAUAAAAUAAAAAGAAAAAAAAAAUUAGCAGAUACCAAAAAGCAGCAACUACAUCUUACAGGGCAUGAUCAUACAAUACAUAGGUCAUUGGUUCAAAUUCUAAUUUAUUUUUUAAGUUGGGAUAGAAACCAAUCUGUAGCCUACCUGUACCAUUUAGCACAAAGAUAACUCUGAAAAGAGAACUGUCUCUGUGAUCUAUUGCUUUGGGGAAUUUUUCCUAUGCUUUGUGCUACCAAAUGAAAAAUUCACAUAAAUAGAAUCCCUUAAGAAGAAAUUCCAAAAACCAUCUAAAUUGCUUUCUCACCAUGGAAUUUUGUAAAAAUCAGAAGACUGCUUAAAAGUACAUCUCCAGUCCUUAGGGGCUAGCAUUGAAACAACUGGUGCCCAAAAUCUCUGAAGAAUCAGUAUAUAAAAAGAUGGGCUCCAAAUACAGUAGAAAAAUGAUUAUAAUGUUCAUGACAUUAUCAUCUCUCUCCUCUUCUUAAUUCCUGGAUCUCUAUCUCCACUACUAUUUUGUUUUGGAGACUAUUGGAAAGUUUAGUCAGUUGGGAUGUCUAAAGAGGGAAAGGGCAAUGAGAUUUGAAAGGUACCAC
This 1485-nucleotide long non-coding RNA is filed under the name Sarcophilus harrisii (Tasmanian devil). RNAcentral's name for it is "lncRNA (ENSSHAG00000023948.1)". Lineage: Eukaryota; Metazoa; Chordata; Mammalia; Dasyuromorphia; Dasyuridae. The record is from RNAcentral.